This 253-nucleotide ribosomal RNA is filed under the name uncultured bacterium. RNAcentral's name for it is "partial 16S ribosomal RNA". It matches the Rfam family "Bacterial small subunit ribosomal RNA", at positions 524 to 776 of the family's 1533-position model. The record is from RNAcentral.
UACGUAGGGGGCUAGCGUUGUCCGGAAUCAUUGGGCGUAAAGCGCACGUAGGCGGAUCGUUAAGUCGGGGGUGAAAUCCUGGAGCUCAACUCCAGAACUGCCUUCGAUACUGGCGAUCUUGAGUCCGGAAGAGGUGAGUGGAACUCCUAGUGUAGAGGUGGAAUUCGUAGAUAUUAGGAAGAACACCAGUGGCGAAGGCGGCUCACUGGUCCGGUACUGACGCUGAGGUGCGAAAGCGUGGGGAGCAAACAGG